GAAAGCUCUGCUGUUUGGACAGCUUUAUGUAGGCCCUAACAGUUUGUAGGCACCGCUUGUCACUGUUAUAGUGCAAUUAAUGUGUUAUUUAGUGUAGUGUCUUUGGUGGCAAUUGUUUUUGUUUGCCCCACCAAGAUUUACAUGCUAAAAUCACCACUGGUCCUGGCUAUAAUCUCCAUUAUGAAUAUCUCCUAAUAAUUUAUUGAGCUAAGGUAGAUGUAGUCAAACACAAAUCCAUUUAGAGAAAGAGUAACAGAACCAUCAAGAUAACACAAACAGAUACACCGACAAGACAGAUACUAUAGAGCCCUGUCGUUGACGACACAUACAAAAAACAUGAAAACAUUCAUAAUGAGAUGAUGAACAGAUGAGUAUACUGUGAAAAAUAAUCCUCAUGACCUAACAAUGAGAAAGAAAAUACAUACGUAUUGCAUUGCUGAAGCUAGAACCAAGUGAACAUCGAAGACAGCCCUGAAAUACAGUCAACAGUGACAACGGUAAGAUAAGACAUUUCCCUCUUGAAAUAUUGCAUGGAAAUAAACCUGUAAACCUAUAUUGCCUUGCAUUAUGCCUAGGAUGCUCAACUUACCACAUGGCGAUCGACUCAACUUAACCCAAGACAUAUUUUGACUAUAUUAGCCCACACAGCCACAAUGAUGCACUUUCAUGCUAGGUUUAGGACAUCAAAUUGAAGUUUAUAGAGAUCCCAACUGAUGUAUAGAACAAUAUUGCAAUUAUCUACUUUGGUUUAGAUCCGAACAUAGUGAAACCGCUAACACAAUGAAUUUGACCUGGUGAAAAUCAGUUUUUUGGAACCAACUUUUUCCAUGUGGUUUCUUCCUUCAGACUCCAUGAAAUGAUGUCCUCUUCCUAAAGAUUUGGUCAAAUUAUUCAUUUUGUGUAUGGUUUCCUAGAAACAAGGGAGGCUCAAUUUACUCCUUUGGCUCAACUUGGCCCACUUUUCCCUCGGCCAGAUUUCUCUUAGGAAAGAGGUCCUCAAUGGGGCAAGCUUAAAUACAUUUUAAAAAUCUAAAGAAACAUUGUUCAAAGAAUUUGUAAGUCAUACUCCAUUGUUCUCUAUGGGACACUUAGUGGCUUUCUGUUUGAACUCUGACCUCUGCAUUACAGGGAGUCCGGAUCAGCAGAUGUGCCCCUUAAGGUUCCAGACACCAUCACCUCCUGGGAGUCAGAGGCAUUCUGCCUGGCCCCUGGUGGUUUCGGUCUGGCUGCUCCGGUAAAAUUUACAGUUUUACAGCAAUUCUUCCCGGAACUCCCCUUGCCUUACGCCAUCAUCCGUGGAGAGCAUUUUGAGCUGAAGGCCACUGUGUUCAACUACCUGUCCAAGUGCAUCAUGGUUUCUGUGACUGCGGCUCCUUCCUUAGACUACACUCUCACACCCCUGAAUGAUGUCCAGUAUUCAUCAUGCUUGUGUGCCAAUGGACGAAAGACCUUCAGUUGGACAAUGGCACCCUCAGUGCUGGGGGAUUUUAACAUCCAGAGCCUGUCCAGUCCCACGCUGUGUGUGACAAUGAGAUUGUGAAAGUAAAGGAGAGAGGACACAUCUACAAAGUCACACAGAGCCUGCUGGUGAAGGCGGAGGGAACAGAGAAGACCGACACCUACAACUGGUUGCUGUGUAAUGCAUGAAUGUUGAAUGUUCACUUUUAUUGAACUGAUCAUCUCCAUUCAUCUUAUCAUCUGUGUCCACUGGAGAAACUCUGACAGAAGAGGUGGAACUGCAACUCGCCAAGAAUGUGGUGGAUGGAUCUGAUCGAAUUUCUCUCUCAGUCCUGGGUAAAAUAAACAUAGUGAGUUUAGAGAGAUAGUGAGUUUAGAGAGGCGUAGUGGUGAGAUAAGCCAUGAGGUCAAAGGAAUUGUACGUUCAGCUCCGAGACAGGAUUGUGUCGAGGCAAAGAUCUGGGGAAGGGUAACAAAAAAUGUCUGCAUUAUUGAAAGUCCCCAUCAUUCU
Molecule: long non-coding RNA, 1969 nt
Organism: Oncorhynchus mykiss (rainbow trout)
Lineage: Eukaryota; Metazoa; Chordata; Actinopteri; Salmoniformes; Salmonidae
Source: RefSeq, a predicted model, not a curated record